RNA transcript from Anarrhichthys ocellatus (wolf-eel), 1302 nucleotides. It is a transcript of the gene named stress-induced-phosphoprotein 1-like, with no coding region annotated. The transcript has 7 exons. Lineage: Eukaryota; Metazoa; Chordata; Actinopteri; Perciformes; Anarhichadidae. The record is from RefSeq and is a predicted model, not a curated record.
CUUUGACGUUUGCUUUGGCAAAAUGACAAACUUUAUUGGGUGUGGUGUCAUUAAACUAAUAAAUCUCAAGAGGGCGAACUGGCACUCGCUGUCUUUGUCCUUUCAUACUGUAGUGAUCACAUGUUGUCAGCCUGUUUUGUGUGUCACUCUGCUGUGUUUCAGGAGCCAGAGUGGGAUGUCAGCAGCGCAUUUGUGGCCAACGCCGCCAGCCACAUCAAACUCAAAGGCCUGAAGAACAGAGCAACACAGAUCUCCAGAGAAAACGAGGAGAACGAGGCCCGGAGCAGCCAGACGGAGAGCACAGAAGAAAUGAAGAGGAGGGGCGAGUCUCUGACAGUGCAGGGCAUUCAGAUGUUCGAGCAAGGCCAGUACAUCCAAGCGGUGGACAUGUUCACAGAAGCCAUCUACUGCAACCCCAAGGACCACAGGUUCUAUGGAAACCGCUCCUACUGUUAUUGGUGUCUGGAGCAGUACUCGUCCGCCCUCGCAGACGCUCAGAGGUCCAUUCAGCUGGCUCCCGAUUGGCCGAAGGGGUACUUCCGUAAGGGGUGUGCUCUGAUGGGGUUAAAGCAGUUCAGUGAAGCAGAGGCGGCCAUGGAGCGGGUGUUGAAGUUGGAUCAGCUCUGUAAGGAAGCCUCCAGUAAACUCCUCUCCUGCCGCGUCCUGCAGCUCACGGAGCUGGGCUUCGAGGAGGAGCAGAGUGAAGCGCUGCUGGAGAAGUUCACCACCGUUCAGGCGGUCGUCACCUCACCAGAGGCCCAAAGUAAGAGCUCAGCCGCAGCCCCGCUUGUGUCCACACGGGGGCAGCACCGCUCUCUGUUCCAGUCACGUCACACAUCAACAGCAGAGACCGCAACACUUAUGUGUAAAGAUUAUUAAAUACAUGGACAGUAAGAUAUGAACAGCACACUGCUGCAAAGAAAGGGGCAGAGAAAUAUGUAGUUUACAGAGUAGAAUAUAUUCAGUAUGUUGGAUAUGAAGAUGUAUCAGCAAUCUGGACUAAAGCAGACAUGCUGCAUGAACUGUAGAGUCCAGUGGGAGUUUAUUGUUUAUUGAUAUGAUGUUACAGUAAGUAAGUGCUGUGUCAGCACAUUAGUGUACUUUACAGCAGACCACAGUGGUUCAUCGUUGUAAAUACAUCUCAUUGAUGCUCUGUUUUUGUUGUUUUGUCCUUCCAUGAUGUCCACUUCCUGUCUCCUCUUUACUUCCAGCACUGAAGGACCAGAGUGGGAGCUGUCGCUCUCUGUGGGUCGGGAACAUCACAUUGGAAGUGACAGAGAAAGACGUCUUGGACGUCUUUAA